UCAAAAUUAUUUCAGAAAAAUCUUAAAAAAUGCCUCUUUUUUUUACCUAUAGUCAAAAUAAAAGACACGUGCAAUAAAAAGAAACGUAAUAGGCUCAAACUAGAUGACACACACACCCCCUUCCUCUCCAUCUGAGCAUAUCAAUAUGCUGUCAAUGAUCUACUCUCUGUUUCACUACAUGACAGGAACUGUAUCUAGGUUAUGUGUAGCAGGGUGAGGAAGUGUCACUCUGUGUUAUCCAGACUAAGGCACUGGAGGCGGCACGAGGAGCAGAACGACCCCCAGGGAGCUGGUUGUUUGCCAGGUAACCCAGGUGACACCCGAGCAUCAGAGAAAAGGGCCGUGUGGCAGUUUGACCGCAGCAGGGAGGAAGGACCAGAUGAAGCCCAGCGUGU
Molecule: long non-coding RNA, 395 nt
Organism: Notothenia coriiceps (black rockcod)
Lineage: Eukaryota; Metazoa; Chordata; Actinopteri; Perciformes; Nototheniidae
Exons: 3
Source: RefSeq, a predicted model, not a curated record